This 365-nucleotide long non-coding RNA is filed under the name Equus caballus (horse). Its description in RNAcentral is "lncRNA (ENSECAG00000049091.1)". The record is from RNAcentral. Lineage: Eukaryota; Metazoa; Chordata; Mammalia; Perissodactyla; Equidae.
CGGGAGGCCGGCCCGGAACCGGCCAGGAUGCGAUGGGGGCGGGUUUGUGGGGCGCGUUCUCCCACCCGUUAGGGUCGAAUAAUGGCAGUGGGCGGGCCGGCGCAGUCUCGGCGCUCUCGUUCCCCAGAGGAGUUAAUCGUUUAUGGCAACUCCAGUGAGUGCCCCCAGCCCGGCACCCGGCACUCAGCACUCAGCACCCAGCACUCAGCACCCAGCUCAGCCUGCAGAGCCCUUGGGCAGAGUCGAGCGGGUCUCCCACGGAAACUCACUCAAGCGCGGUAGGCACAGAGUCAAAAGGGACGUUCUUCCAUGUUAACGAUUCAAACAAGAGGAGAAUCAAGCUUGCUCUGUGAGCAACAGCCACA